This 533-nucleotide ribosomal RNA is filed under the name uncultured bacterium. RNAcentral's name for it is "bacterial SSU rRNA". It matches the Rfam family "Bacterial small subunit ribosomal RNA", at positions 777 to 1307 of the family's 1533-position model. The record is from RNAcentral.
AAUAGAUACCCGGGUAGUCCACGCCGUAAACGAUGAGUGCUAAGUGUUAGAGGGUUUCCGCCCUUUAGUGCUGCAGCAAACGCAUUAAGCACUCCGCCUGGGGAGUACGGUCGCAAGACUGAAACUCAAAGGAAUUGACGGGGGCCCGCACAAGCGGUGGAGCAUGUGGUUUAAUUCGAAGCAACGCGAAGAACCUUACCAGGUCUUGACAUCCCACUGCCCGGUAUAGAGAUAUACCUUUCCCUUCGGGGACAGUGGUGACAGGUGGUGCAUGGUUGUCGUCAGCUCGUGUCGUGAGAUGUUGGGUUAAGUCCCGCAACGAGCGCAACCCUUGAUCUUAGUUGCCAGCAUUUAGUUGGGCACUCUAAGGUGACUGCCGGUGACAAACCGGAGGAAGGUGGGGAUGACGUCAAAUCAUCAUGCCCCUUAUGACCUGGGCUACACACGUGCUACAAUGGAUGGUACAAAGGGCUGCAAGACCGCGAGGUCAAGCCAAUCCCAAUAAAACCAUUCUCAGUUCGGAUUGCAGGCUG